This 488-nucleotide ribosomal RNA is filed under the name uncultured bacterium. Its description in RNAcentral is "bacterial SSU rRNA". It matches the Rfam family "Bacterial small subunit ribosomal RNA", at positions 33 to 507 of the family's 1533-position model. The record is from RNAcentral.
UGGACGACGCUGGCGGCGUGGAUUAGGCAUGCAAGUCGAACGGUAUCAUCCUUUCGGGGGUGAGAGAGUGGCGAACUGGUGAGUAACACGUAGGUUAUCUACCCUCAAGACGGGGACAACCCAGGGAAACUUGGGCUAAUACCGGAUGUGAGCAACUUUUAGUUGUUUGAAAGGUGGCGUAAGCUGUCGCUUGGGGAUGAGCCUGCGGUCUAUUAGUUAGUUGGUGAGGUAAGAGCUCACCAAGGCGAUGAUAGAUAGGCGGCCUUAACGGGUGGUCGCCCACACUGGGAUUGAGAUACGGCCCAGACUCCUACGGGAGGCAGCAGUCGAGAAUAGUCUACAAUGGCCGGAAGGCUGAUAGUGCGACGCCGCGUGAACGAUGAAUCCCUUCGGGGUGUAAAGUUCUUUUAUAUGUGAGCAGUGCUUCUUAUAUUAACAGUAUGGGGAGAGAGAUAUUAGCAUAUGAAUAAGCAACGGCUAACUCCGUG